CCACAAGGGGUGAAGCCUGCGGUUUAAUUGGAGUCAACGCCGGGAAUCUUACCGGGAGCGACAGUAGAAUGAAGGCCAAGCUGACGACUUUGCUAGACAGACUGAGAGGAGGUGCAUGGCCGUCGCCAGUUCGUGCCGUGAGGUGUCCGGUUAAGUCCGGCAACGAACGAGACCCCCAUCCUCUGUUGCUCAGCUUUCUCUACGGAGGGAGCCGCACACGGAGGAGACUGCCAGUGUUAAACUGGAGGAGGGAGGGGGCUACGGCAGGUCAGCAUGCCCCGAAUCUCCCGGGCCACACGCGGGCUGCAAUGGCGAGGACAGCGGGUUCCGACCCUGAAAGGGGAAGGUAAUCCCUUAAACCUCGCCGUAGUUGGGAUUGAGGGCUGUAACCCGCCCUCAUGAACAUGGAAUCCCUAGUAACCGCACGUCACCAUCGCGCGGUGAAUACGUCCCUGCUCCUUGC
RNAcentral lists this ribosomal RNA (463 nucleotides) under uncultured archaeon. RNAcentral describes it as "bacterial SSU rRNA". It matches the Rfam family "Archaeal small subunit ribosomal RNA", at positions 879 to 1340 of the family's 1478-position model. The record is from RNAcentral.